GCGCGCGUGGCGAAAUCGGUAGACGCAGCACGCUCAGGACGUGCCGGCCUGUCCAUGGGGGUUCAAGUCCCUCCGCGCGCACCA
This 84-nucleotide transfer RNA is filed under the name Rhodopseudomonas sp. BR0C11. Its description in RNAcentral is "tRNA-Leu". It matches the Rfam family "tRNA". Rfam says of the family: Transfer RNA (tRNA) molecules are approximately 80 nucleotides in length. Their secondary structure includes four short double-helical elements and three loops (D, anti-codon, and T loops). Further hydrogen bonds mediate the characteristic L-shaped molecular structure. tRNAs have two regions of fundamental functional importance: the anti-codon, which is responsible for specific mRNA codon recognition, and the 3' end, to which the tRNAs corresponding amino acid is attached (by aminoacyl-tRNA synthetases). tRNAs cope with the degeneracy of the genetic code in two manners: having more than one tRNA (with a specific anti-codon) for a particular amino acid; and 'wobble' base-pairing, i.e. permitting non-standard base-pairing at the 3rd anti-codon position. Lineage: Bacteria; Pseudomonadati; Pseudomonadota; Alphaproteobacteria; Hyphomicrobiales; Nitrobacteraceae. The record is from RNAcentral.